Molecule: ribosomal RNA, 602 nt
Filed under: uncultured bacterium
Lineage: Bacteria
Description: bacterial SSU rRNA
Rfam family: Bacterial small subunit ribosomal RNA
Source: RNAcentral
UCUAGCCAUGCCGCGUGAGUGACGAAGGACUUAGGGUCGUAAAGCUCUUUCGCCAGGGAUGAUAAUGACAGAACCUGGUAAAGAAACCCCGGCUAACUCCGUGCCAGCAGCCGCGGUAAUACGGAGGGGGUUAGCGUUGUUCGGAAUUACUGGGCGUAAAGGGCGCGUAGGGGAUUGGAAAGUUGGGGGUGAAAUCCCGGGGCUCAACCCCGAACUGCCUCCAAAACUAUCAGUCUAGAGUUCGAGAGAGGUGAGUGGAAUUCCAAGUGUAGAGGUGAAAUUCGUAGAUAUUUGGAGGAACACCAGUGGCGAAGGGGCUCACUGGCUCGAUACUGACGCUGAGGUGCGAAAGUGUGGGGAGCAAACAGGAUUAGAUACCCUGGUAGUCCACACCGUAAACGAUGAAUGCCAGACGUCGGGGGGCUUGCCUUCGGUGUCACACCUAACGGAUUAAGCAUUCCGCCUGGGGAGUACGGUCGCAAGAUUAAAACUCAAAGGAAUUGACGGGGGCCCGCACAAGCGUGGAGCAUGUGGUUUAAUUCGAAGCAACGCGCAGAAACCUUACCAACCCUUGACAUCCUGGGACCGCCAGAGAGAUCUGG